This 1403-nucleotide ribosomal RNA is filed under the name uncultured bacterium. RNAcentral describes it as "16S ribosomal RNA". It matches the Rfam family "Bacterial small subunit ribosomal RNA". The record is from RNAcentral.
AGAGUUUGAUCCUGGCUCAGGAUGAACGCUAGCGACAGGCCUAACACAUGCAAGUCGAGGGGCAGCGGGGAGCGAAGCUUGCUUUCUCCGCCGGCGACCGGCGCACGGGUGAGUAACACGUAUGCAACCUGCCCCUGUCAGGGGGACAACCCGCCGAAAGGCGGGCUAAACCCGCGUACAUGCCACCGGGGCAUCCCGGAGGCAGGAAAGGCUUCGGCCGGACAGGGAUGGGCAUGCGGCGCAUUAGGCAGUAGGCGGGGUAACGGCCCACCUAACCGACGAUGCGUAGGGGUUCUGAGAGGAAGGUCCCCCACACUGGUACUGAGACACGGACCAGACUCCUACGGGAGGCAGCAGUGAGGAAUAUUGGUCAAUGGUCGGGAGACUGAACCAGCCAAGCCGCGUGAGGGAGGAAGGUACAGAGUAUCGUAAACCUCUUUUGUCAGGGAACAAAGGCGGGGACGUGUCCCCGGAUGAGUGUACCUGAAGAAAAAGCAUCGGCUAACUCCGUGCCAGCAGCCGCGGUAAUACGGAGGAUGCGAGCGUUAUCCGGAUUUAUUGGGUUUAAAGGGUGCGCAGGCGGUCUGUUAAGUCAGCGGUCAAAGCCCGGGGCUCAACCCCGGCCCGCCGUUGAAACUGGCAGUCUCGAGUUGGAGAGAAGUAUGCGGAAUGCGCGGUGUAGCGGUGAAAUGCAUAGAUAUCGCGCAGAACUCCGAUUGCGAAGGCAGCAUGCCGGCUCCACACUGACGCUGAGGCACGAAAGCGUGGGUAUCGAACAGGAUUAGAUACCCUGGUAGUCCACGCAGUAAACGAUGAAUGCUGGCUGUCCGGGGGGAUUGACCCCUGGGUGGCGAAGCGAAAGCGAUAAGCAUUCCACCUGGGGAGUACGCCGGCAACGGUGAAACUCAAAGGAAUUGACGGGGGCCCGCACAAGCGGAGGAACAUGUGGUUUAAUUCGAUGAUACGCGAGGAACCUUACCCGGGCUCAAACGGGGAGUGACUCAGGCAGAGACGCCUGUUUCCCACGGGACACUCCCCGAGGUGCUGCAUGGUUGUCGUCAGCUCGUGCCGUGAGGUGUCGGCUUAAGUGCCAUAACGAGCGCAACCCCCGCGCGCAGUUGCUAACAGAUAACGCUGAGGACUCUGCACGGACUGCCGGCGCAAGCCGCGAGGAAGGCGGGGAUGACGUCAAAUCAGCACGGCCCUUACGUCCGGGGCGACACACGUGUUACAAUGGGUGGUACAGCGGGAAGCCAGGCGGCGACGCCGAGCGGAACCCGAAAUCCACUCUCAGUUCGGAUCGGAGUCUGCAACCCGACUCCGUGAAGCUGGAUUCGCUAGUAAUCGCGCAUCAGCCAUGGCGCGGUGAAUACGUUCCCGGGCCUUGCACUCACCGCCCGUCA